GAUCUUCCCCAAGAGUCCAUAUCGACGGGAUGGUUUGGCACCUCGAUGUCGGCUCGUCGCAUCCUGGGGCUGGAGUCGGUCCCAAGGGUUGGGCUGUUCGCCCAUUAAAGCGGUACGCGAGCUGGGUUUAGAACGUCGUGAGACAGUUCGGUCCCUAUCCGCUGUGCGCGUAGGAGUCUUGAGAAGGGCUGUCCCUAGUACGAGAGGACCGGGACGGACGAACCUCUGGUGUGCCAGUUGUCCUGCCAAGGGCAUGGCUGGUUGGCUACGUUCGGGAGGGAUAACCGCUGAAAGCAUCUAAGCGGGAAGCCUGCUUCGAGAUGAGGACUCCCACCCCCUUGAGGGGUUAAGGCUCCCAGUAGACGACUGGGUUGAUAGGCCGGAUCUGGAAGCACCGUGAGGUGUGGAGGUGACCGGUACUAAUAGGCCGAGGGCUUGUCCUC
This 443-nucleotide ribosomal RNA is filed under the name Streptomyces lividans. RNAcentral describes it as "bacterial LSU rRNA". It matches the Rfam family "Bacterial large subunit ribosomal RNA", at positions 2484 to 2925 of the family's 2925-position model. Lineage: Bacteria; Bacillati; Actinomycetota; Actinomycetes; Kitasatosporales; Streptomycetaceae. The record is from RNAcentral.